Molecule: long non-coding RNA, 1636 nt
Organism: Magnolia sinica
Lineage: Eukaryota; Viridiplantae; Streptophyta; Magnoliopsida; Magnoliales; Magnoliaceae
Exons: 3
Source: RefSeq, a predicted model, not a curated record
UUUGCAGCAACUCCAAUCGGCCCUGUUGUUUUCCUUGUGAUCACAUUCGGGAACUCGGCAGUGAUUAUAAGCUUGUGGCCAUGCCAUGUCGUUUGGACAUACUCCUGCAUUGCAAAGGUUGUUCUCAUGCUGAUGGUUAGGUGUUCUUUUGGCCCUCAUAUAGUGACACUUGCUGCCAACAAGAGAGGAAGACAAUGACUAAAACAAGUAGCUGUGUUCCAACCUAGGAUGUAACCUGAACUUCCCACCACAGCUAAACUGUAUGGGGAAAUCUGUCGGUGGUGACCCUUGUGGGGAGGAUUAGAAGGGAAUAUCAUGCUCUGGAACUUCAGUUCAAUCCAUGUAUUGUAACUAUUACUUUCUUUUUUAAUCCAAGGAGCCAUUUGGACAGCACACUCUCCUCUUUGUAAGUACCUUCUUUCUAAACAGAUCCACUAAUAUGUUAGUCUAUAAGAAUAUUAAGGAUAAAGAUAAUGAACCUGCAGUGUUGAAGUUUACCAAUCUCUUGUUCAUCUCAUUCUUUACCAAACUUGUAAGUUUGUUCUUGAUGAAUCCUGGCUUGUGCCCUACCAGGGAUCUUACAUUAAUUUAUGUGCCAAAUAAAUGUCCUAUGCUAGUAUUUGCCAUAUCCAUGUAUCAAUUUCACAUGUAACUUUUAACAUUUCAUGUGUUAGUGGUACCCCUGCAACUCAGUUUAAUGGUACUUACUGGUUGCCUUCAAUAUAGGUCAAUGAUACAGUUGGAACACUGGCUGGAAGUAGAUACUGCAAUAAUGAUGUUGUUGUUGCUGUAAUCUUGGGUACCAGAACAAAUGCUGCAUAUGUAGAGCGUGCACAUGCAAUUCCUAAGUGGCACGGUCUUCUACCUAGAUCAGGAGAGAUGGUGAGCUUUCUUAUUGUGGCUAUUGUUUUCUUUCUUUUGGAUUGUUUAUUAUUCUUGUUUUGAGGAAUAAAAGAGAGAACUCAAUAAUAAUAAAAAAAUGCCCAUAGGCCUGAAAAUACAAAAAAAAAAAAACAGGAAUUCUAGAGAAAAAUGCAUCACGGCAUGUAAGAUGAAUGUGAACCACAAGCUAUUUUGUUUCCCUGUUUCAUAAAUUUGUGCCCUAACUAAUGUAAUCACUUUAUAAGCGUAACAAAAAUGGAUGUUCUGACAGCACCUUUCUGAUCAUAUGUUCUAUCGGGUGAGUUCACUCUCCGUGCUUUUCUCAAUGGACGCUUAGAUCUUUCUCAAGCUGAAAAUGUUGAAAAACUCAUUUCAGCUAAAUCUAUUGCUGCUGCAGAUGCUGCAUUGGCAGGGAUCUAGGUUAUGGGGCAUAUCUGCUAUCACAUUCUAGCAACCGGUUUGAAUGGUUACAUGGCAACUGUAACCAACCUGAAAAAUCUGUCUCAUGUAGUUUUUCUAUUUGUAUUUUGAUUUUAAGAAGUUCUUAUCAUGGUCGUAAUUGCCAUUUUUAUUUAUACUUUAGGUAUAUCAACAUGAUGAUAAUAACAUGGAAAACAUGGGAAUUCAUGGAUUGUUGGCUACAUUGAAGGCUUUUGGGUAAGUAGUUUCAGACCUUUUUUGUACUGUUUUCUUGCUCAUCUAAGAAAAAUGAGGGCUGGUUGUAAAUGAUGUACAGGUUGUGUUUGAAUAAUAA